Molecule: ribosomal RNA, 377 nt
Filed under: uncultured bacterium
Lineage: Bacteria
Description: bacterial SSU rRNA
Rfam family: Bacterial small subunit ribosomal RNA
Source: RNAcentral
GACGAACGCUGGCGGCGCGCUUAACACAUGCAAGUCGAGCGAGAACCCUCCUUCGGGAGGGGAAGCGGCGAACGGGUGAGUAACACGUGGGUAAUCAACCCUCGGUACCGGGAUAGCCCGAGGAAACUCGGAUUAAUACCGGAUGGCCCAACAGCUUUUCGGGGCGGUUGGGAAAGGUAGCUUCGGCCUCCGACCGAGGACGAGCCCGCGGCGGAUUAGCUUGUUGGUGGGGUAACGCCUACCAAGGCGACGAUCCGUAGCUGGCUGAGAGGACGAUCAGCCACACUGGGACUGAGACACGGCCCAGACUCCUACGGGAGGCAGCAGUGGGGAAUCUUGCGCAAUGGGCGAAAGCCUGACGCAGCGACGCCGCGUGA